Molecule: non-coding RNA, 71 nt
Organism: Kordia algicida OT-1
Lineage: Bacteria; Pseudomonadati; Bacteroidota; Flavobacteriia; Flavobacteriales; Flavobacteriaceae
Source: Rfam
AGAUUGAUAGUUUAAUUGGAAGAACACUUGGCUCAUAACUAGAGGUGCGAGUUCAAGUCUCGCUCAAUCUU